AUGCAAAUUAAGAGGUGAAUUAUGCAGAA
This 29-nucleotide non-coding RNA is filed under the name Homo sapiens (human). Lineage: Eukaryota; Metazoa; Chordata; Mammalia; Primates; Hominidae. The record is from RNAcentral.